RNAcentral lists this ribosomal RNA (350 nucleotides) under Cryptosporidium felis. RNAcentral's name for it is "partial small subunit ribosomal RNA". It matches the Rfam family "Eukaryotic small subunit ribosomal RNA", at positions 645 to 999 of the family's 1831-position model. The record is from RNAcentral. Lineage: Eukaryota; Apicomplexa; Conoidasida; Eucoccidiorida; Cryptosporidiidae.
UGUUAAUACCUUAUAUAUAAUAUUUUUUUUUUAAAUAUUAAUAUGUAAGAUUAACAUAAUUCAUAUUUUUAAGACUGAAUUUUUAGUUUUGAUAAUAUGAAAUUUUACUUUGAGAAAAUUAGAGUGCUUAAAGCAGGCUUUUGCCUUGAAUACUCCAGCAUGGAAUAAUAAUAAAAGAUUUUUAUCUUUUUUUUAUUGGUUCUAAGAUAAAAAUAAUGAUUAAUAGGGACAGUUGGGGGCAUUUGUAUUUAACAGUCAGAGGUGAUAUUCUUAGAUUUGUUAAAGACAAACUAAUGCGAAAGCAUUUGCCAAGGAUGUUUUCAUUAAUCAAGAACGAAAGUUAGGGGAUC